Long non-coding RNA from Astatotilapia calliptera (eastern happy), 1408 nucleotides. The record is from Ensembl. NCBI's taxonomy places the organism in Eukaryota, Metazoa, Chordata, Actinopteri, Cichliformes, Cichlidae.
UGAAGAUCUGCUUUGUGGGCUGGACCUCUUCAGACACCAGAAUGAAAGCAGAACCUGCAAUAUGACUCACAACACCUCUCUGAGGUUUGACUGAGUCAAAAGAGUUUGUGAUCCAACUGCAUGUUGGAGGCCAAAGGUCAGCUGCUGGCUGUGAGAGGUAGGUCCUUGGGUCAGUCUGAAUGUGACAAACACACUGUCAGUUGCUGAGGAGUCGAGUCCUUUUUAAUAAUGCUUUGGCACACGAGUCCCAGAUCAGUUACAGAUGCUAGCCCUCGAGCAGAGAGGGUUGGUGUUCUGUGCUGUGGCUCGAAUGCAGGCUGAGAUCACAAGAAGACCUGCGAGCUGCUGAUGUUUCAUGUGUAUGACGAUGUGAAGAGAAGGAAGCUGAAUGCAGAGGUCAUGUGACAGAGCGACAACAGGAAUGUGACAUCACUUAGAUGUGUUUCUAAUGUGGCAGCACAGUUUUCACUUUAUUGUUUCUGACUUCAGGUGGUGCUCUCCGCCUCUGCCGCCAGGCCAUGUUACACCACAGUUCAAGAGGGGGGCAAUGAACGUGUCACAGGUGCGACUCACCUGACUUGACUACACCUGAGUGUGUGGUCAAGUGAGUCUGAGGAGGAGGACCUGUGUCCGUCACAUGUCUGCUGGGACUCUGCAGACACACAAAUCUUGAUGCAGGUGUAAAAACCACUGAUGUUUGGAAAUGCUGAGCUGGAUUUGAUCCAAACCUUCUGCUGUAUUUAUUUUUGUUUCAUUCUCUAUUUUCUGUAACAGAAUGAAAUAAAUCAGGUUAAAUUGUUUUCAUUUGUCAGUGAUGACAGUCAUGCACCUGAGGGCAUCAUCAAACUGUUUUCAUCUGAACCAAAUAUUUGCAUAGAUGUAAGAUUAUCUACAGCUGUUUUCAGUACCACUGAUGUUAAUUUAGUGUCUUUCUCUCCAGCUGAUCUGAGUUAGCUUGAGUAACUACCACCAGCUGCUUUGGCCUGUUCUUUUCUGUAUCACAUGGUGGCGCAGUGAGUCACUGUAACUUUCAUUUAAUUAGAGUUUUUAUUUCCUGUAAACAAAUAUUAAAUGAUUUCUAACCAACUGCAUCAAUCUGUCUGUGAUUAGCCGUCCACACUGAGCUCUGACAGCUGUACAAAUAGCGUUGUUCCUGAAGUCACACCUUGGUAUUUUGGUAAAUCCAGAUUUAUUUAUCUCAGUCCUGCAAACGGGAAGCCGGAUUUUCAGGUCAUUAACUGAGGCAUGAAAAUGUGCGGCCUCUCCUACUUCCUGUCAAACAGCAAGUUUGUCUCCACAUAGGAUUCCAGGAGCUCGGGAAUCUGACGGCGUAUCUCUGCUUUGAAUCCUCGGCUUUGUGACGACAAUCACAAACCUUCAGAUUCUGUUUGCUGUCUUGACCCAAAAG